AUCCUUUUGUAAUUCAUAAGUUGAUGAUUGGAUUUUGACACUCAUGUGUGAAAUGUGCCUCCUUCAAACCUUGUUAAGAUGUCGGCAUAUUACCUACCUAAUA
Otolemur garnettii (small-eared galago) is the source of this 103-nucleotide small nucleolar RNA. The record is from Ensembl. NCBI's taxonomy places the organism in Eukaryota, Metazoa, Chordata, Mammalia, Primates, Galagidae.